Molecule: ribosomal RNA, 393 nt
Filed under: uncultured bacterium
Lineage: Bacteria
Description: partial 16S ribosomal RNA
Rfam family: Bacterial small subunit ribosomal RNA
Source: RNAcentral
AUACGGAGGAUCCGAGCGUUAUCCGGCUUUAUUGGGUUUAAAGGGAGCGUAGGUGGAUUGUUAAGUCAGUUGUGAAAGUUUGCGGCUCAACCGUAAAAUUGCAGUUGAAACUGGCAGUCUUGAGUACAGUAGAGGUGGGCGGAAAUCGUGGGGUAGCGGUGAAAUGCUUAGAUAUCACGAAGAACUCCGAUUGCGAAGGCAGCUCACUAGACUGUUACUGACACUGAUGCUCGAAAGUGUGGGUAUCAAACAGGAUUAGAUACCCUGGUAGUCCACACAGUAAACGAUGAAUACUCGCUGUUUGCGAUAUACAGUAAGCGGCCAAGCGAAAGCAUUAAGUAUUCCACCUGGGGAGUACGCCGGCAACGGUGAAACUUAAAGGAAUUGGCGGGG